AUCUAGCAUAAAGAUGCUUAGCAACAGGGCUCAUUUUACUGCAGAAUUGAGUUGACUACUUUCAAUUUUAUUGGCCCAACAUCUGUUAGUGGAAGGUUACAAAUUUUCAAGUUACUCAGAGCUCUUCAGGACGGUGUAGCUUGAAAGCUUGUACUUACCACCAACAGAAUUUGGUCUAAUAAAAGAUACUAUCUCACCUACCUUGUCUCUCUCUCAUAUCUUGAGGAACCAAAAGACUACAACAACAUGGCAAUUCAAUUUUAUUUUUCUGUGUAUUCCCCUACUGCCAUAAGUGGUGAUUGAUUAAUUUUGCUGAAACUGCCACACCAUUAAAGUCACAUUAUUUCACAGACUGAUGUGGGGCUUGAACCUAUGACUCUUGGAGUGUAAGGGAUUUCAGUGUUAAAUGUAUCUGUAGCAAAAUUAAUCAUUUUUAUUAUAUACAAAUUCUUAACAUAAGUCUCAUCUAUAAACUGUAGGAUUGUAGACCUAGGGCCAGUUAUGUGCGAACCAGAGGUUUAGAAAAUUGCUGCAGUAAUGUUGGAAACUGGUCACUGGUGUAGGAGAUGGACCAUUGUAAGCGUAUACAAAAAGUAGCAGUGAUAAAUUGGAUUAUUUUAUAUAACCACACAUAGAGCUUUCCUCCAACUUCCUUAUCUAACUACAUGUAUGAAUUUAACUAGGGUAAGAGAAAUGCAAUAAAUGCCAAUAUUACUGUUUCCAAACUUCAUACACUUAAGUCGUUAGCUUUAUUGUCAAGUAUCGGGGUCGCAUCUGAAGAAGUGAGGUUUUUUUACCCAUGAAAGCUUAUGCCCAAAUAAAUCUGUUUAAGGUGCCACCAGACUCCUUGUUAGUUUUAUUGUGUAUUCUGAGUAAUGGAUCAGGUGAAAUGGUUCCAGCAUCCCCAUCUUAGGGCACUUUCUUUUUACACAACCAGUUCUGGAUUUAUUGUGGAGUUCCUUCCAGCUCCUCCUACUUCCCUCUGGUUAGCAUGCUUAUCCCCUGUCAUAUUGCUCGCAAACAGCUGCAGCUGCUCUCAUACAUAAUUUAAUUUCCAAAAUUAUUGAUAGUGUACUUUAUGCAAUGAAGGAGUUGUCUGCCUUCAGUUUUGACGUACAUUAAGUAUCCCACUGGUGCCUGUGUGGUAACUUAGCAAGCUUACAACCUAAUCAAUUAAACUUACUGUGAUAUAACUUGCAUAUCAUAUUAAAUCCAAUGAAAAUAUACUCCAUUGUCACUUCAUAGAAAAUUUAUAACACAGCUGCUAGUGAAAUCCAGAUUCUAGUAACCAAAAAUUAACAAAUGUUGUUGGGUAUAUAAGUAAAAUGCACUUCUAAUCUGCAAUAUACAUAAUAGAUGACAAAUUCUGACGUGUGUUCAUGUGAUGUGUAUGUUCUACUUUCUUGUACAGCUGCCUAUUCCCAGUAUUGGCUGAUUGCUCAUGAAGGAAGAAAUGAAGGUGCCGGAGUCAUCCUAUACCUUAAAAUGGCUUAUGGAAACUCAGGCAGAUUGGUUUGUAGACCAUGGUGUGCCCUCAUGGUUCCUCAGAGUCAUCCCCAGAAAUGCACUGUCCACGCUUCCUCACUGAGGAGUUAAAUAAUGGAUGGCUCAUUAUUUCAGGAAAGAUUACAAAAUAUAAGAGAUUGGAAGACUUGGUGAACUUUCAUAAACAUAGUUCUAUCAGACCUUACAAUGAACUGUUAAUCCAACUAUGUGGAUAGGGGAGUGAUUAAAAUACUGAUUAUGAAGAAUUGUUUUCUCACACAGUUAUUUUAAAUAAUGAUAUGAGUUGUGCAAAUCUCUUAGUGGCUUUGCUCCCUGAGAAUCUGACUGAAACCAGCGGUUGCAUUUCAGGAUCCACACUAGCACAGCACACUAUUCCAGGAAACAGAACAACAAUGCAACUUACUCUUCCAUCAGAUUAGGAAGCUCCCCCACUCCCACCCAGGACAGUGGCAUCCAAAUGAUCCUUCAACAUUAGUGACAAAGAACCUUCUUCAGCACAAACUGAUUGUCCUAGCUGCAGUUUGAAUGGACUUCAUGCUCCAGUUACAGAAAAAAUGAAGUCUGAGUCAAAUAGAUCUAGUAAGUAAGAUAGUUUCAUUACACAUAUUAAAUCUAUCAGAUUUCAAGUUCUCAGUUUAAAGCUUUUUGUAUUUACAACAUGCAAACAAAAACUAUUGAUAGAACAAUCUGAAUUGAGCUAUAAAUGGAGAAAACAUCAAAACUGAUGGAAAACAAUCUGUAAAACAACAGAACAAUCUAUAAUGGAUUAGGAAGAAUAUACUAGGAUAUUUAAGGAGGAUCAUGGAUUAAGAUUAAAUUUACCUUUAGAUACAAUAAAAGAUGCGAAUUCGUGUCCUCUCUCUCUCUCUCUCUCUAUUUUUUUUUGGUAACAACUUAAAGCAUUAACCUUCAGCAGCAUCUGUGGAGCAAUUCCACUUAAUCUUGGAGGAUUUCUCUAGCACUAGAAAAAACUAAAGGAUGGCUUUUAAAGUGGAAUAGUCAGAUAAAGACUUGAUAGUAGUGUACCAGGUAGGAUACUGUAUUUGCCUAACACAUUGCUGGAAAGUUACACACCUCUACCCUGAUAUAACGUGACCCAAUAUAACACAGGUUUGCAUACAACGCGGGAAAGCAGCGCUUCAGCGGAUCAGCGCAUCAGCUCCUAGCCACAGCACUCUGCUUCUCGCCACCAGUGAGUGUGGGGAGGUUGGGGAAAGGACACACCUGCAGUGGGAAGC
This is a long non-coding RNA of Chelonoidis abingdonii (Abingdon island giant tortoise), 2744 nucleotides long. RefSeq lists it as uncharacterized. Lineage: Eukaryota; Metazoa; Chordata; Testudines; Testudinidae. The record is from RefSeq and is a predicted model, not a curated record.